RNAcentral lists this ribosomal RNA (443 nucleotides) under uncultured bacterium. Its description in RNAcentral is "partial 16S ribosomal RNA". It matches the Rfam family "Bacterial small subunit ribosomal RNA", at positions 338 to 795 of the family's 1533-position model. The record is from RNAcentral.
CCUACUGGUGACAUCAUUGGGGCAUCUUGGACAAUGGGGGGAACCCUGAUCCAGCGACGCCGCGUGAGUUCCUCCUUCUUUCUUUCUUUCCCUCUCUCUCCUCCUUUCCUCCCUAAAUUCCUUUACCUGACUAAGAAGCCCCGGCUAACUACGUGCCAGCAGCCGCGGUAAUACGUCGGGGUCAAUCGUUAUCCUGCUUUACUGUGUGUAAAGGGAGAUUAUACGUCGAUGCAAGUCUGAAGUGAAAGGCGGGGGCACAACCUCCGGACUGCGGGGGAAACUGUAUGGCUGGAGUGCAGGAGAGGUAAGUGGAAUUAAUAGUGUAGAGAUGAAAGGAGUAGAGAUUAGGAGGAACACCAGUGGAGAAGGCGGCUUAAGGGACUGUAAAUGACGUUGAGGCUCGAAAGCGGGGGGAGAAAACAGGAGGAGAGAAAAGGGGAGUC